AUAUGCUUGUCUCAAAGAUUAAGCCAUGCAUGUCUAAGUCCAAGCUGUGUUCACACGGCGAGACCGCGGACGGCUCAUUAAAUCAGUCGUGGUCCAAAUGGGCCAGUGCAAAUCCUACUUGGAUAACUGUGGUAAUUCCAGAGCUAAUACAUGCAACUGAUAUCCCGAAGGCGGUGUUUGGGCUUGCUUGCCUUGCGCUGCGCUGCUCUGACGGAUGCUUUUAUUAGACCAAGCCGCUGAGGACUUGAGGGUUCGCGCUCUCUUGUCUGACUCGUGUGAUGGUGACUCUGGAUAACCAAAUUCUGACAAGCGCACGUACUUCUCUUCUGAGCGAGACGGCGCUGCCACUUUCGAGUGUCUGCCUUAUCAGCUAUCAACCGUUCGUUAUGCGCGACCGAUGGCUUUGACGGGUAACGGGGAAUCAGGGUUCGAUUCCGGAGAGGCAGCCUGAGAGACGGCUACCACGUCCAAGGACGGCAGCAGGCACGCAAAUUACCCAAUCCCAGCAAAUGGGGGAGGUAGUGACGAAAUCUAACGAUGCGGGCGCCCUUUCUGGGGCCCCGCAAUCGGAAUGGGCACUUUCUAAACAACCUGUUGAGAACCUACUGAAGGGCAAGUC
This 619-nucleotide ribosomal RNA is filed under the name Eulimnogammarus verrucosus. RNAcentral's name for it is "SSU rRNA". It matches the Rfam family "Eukaryotic small subunit ribosomal RNA", at positions 26 to 561 of the family's 1831-position model. The record is from RNAcentral. Lineage: Eukaryota; Metazoa; Arthropoda; Malacostraca; Amphipoda; Eulimnogammaridae.